Corticium candelabrum is the source of this 1830-nucleotide long non-coding RNA. RefSeq lists it as uncharacterized. The record is from RefSeq and is a predicted model, not a curated record. The transcript has 2 exons. Lineage: Eukaryota; Metazoa; Porifera; Homoscleromorpha; Homosclerophorida; Plakinidae.
CCUCCCCGGCGAAAUGGGGUCUGGUGUACAGCCUUUGAUGUCGCUGUGUGCCGCGUAGCCAGAAAUCGGCUAUCUAAAGACCGGAUUUUGUUUCUUAAACGCUUCACUAAAGACGAGACUGGUAUGCACGCAAUGCAAUCCUAUCUCAAUAGCUUCUCUUGUUUCGUAGAGAACAACUCGAAGACUACAGCUAGAGUCGUUGCUGUUUGUGAAAUCUGCAUGUCUACGGCAGCGACUAAACGCGGCCGCGGGGACGUCGACGUCGACAGGCUUCGAUUUCAUGCAGCCAUGAUCGACGUCGUACGAUCUAGCGUUGUGCGCUCGUGUCACAACGGAGACUGAAUGCGAACGUACUGGAUGGAUGCGAACGUACUCAGUGCUGUUUGCUGUUUUUUGACGUCUAAAGCGACCGCAGACAGUCCGGAGUGAGCGAUAUCUGGAAGAGCUUGGAGUUGCAUGACGUCAUCGAAACAAGAUGAGUCGUCUUUCUGUGUUUGGGUAAUCAUUUCAUGUGUUUUGUGCUUUGCUUUGGUGAACACAUACAGUAGCAACCAGGAAGAGACCACGUUGACAGAAAUCCUGGACGUCCCAAGGUGGUACAGAUUCGAUGUGUUGUUUGGAAGGGGUUGCUGUAAAACGCAGACUGCAGACUACGCAGACUGCAGACUACGCAGACUGCAGACUACGCAGACUGCAGACUACGCAGACUGCAGACUACGCAGACUGCAGACUACGCAGACUGCAGACUGCAGACUACGGAAUGGGGACUUGCAGACUACGGAAUGGGGACUUUGGCGCUUUCGAAGAUCAAAGACAUGCGCACAUUCUUAUAAACAUACCUUCACGUGCUAAUGUUUCCGGACUUGCCUCAUGACAUCGUCAUGUUCAGUGAAACAGCACGGCUAAGCCUCUUCGAAGCCGCUUCUAUCUCCAUCUGUGCGAGCACGUACGUCGUCUGGAUCUACGUCGAUCACAUGCGCGACAACUAGAUAGUGAAACCAGGCGACCAACGCAUUAGACAGCCUACUGUUUCUCCAUCAGAGUCUGUUUGUAAAAUGUUUCUGUUCAUAUUGUGUGUGGUGAAGCGAUAGUUGGAAGCACGAGUUGAAGAAUGGACGAUAGGGCGGUCUCCUUGAAAGAAAGGCAGUGACGUGUUGUCUUCUAUCAUAUUUAUCUUUGUGCUUCCGUCUUCGGUCUUUAGAUGUUAGGAGAUAAAGCAGGUGUACUGCUUUCGACCAACGUAUGUUGCAGCGCAUCGCAAUCGACUAGAGGAGAUAUAUGUAUGGAUUCAGAUAGGCUCUUUAUUGCGCAUGUAUCAGACAAUGAAGAUGCAUGCCAGGACAGCAGUGUGAAGAUCAUGGAACUUGCUGACAAGGUGAAAACUUCCUUUGCCUUGGAGACGAUCACAUCCAUCUGAGGCUCAUGUCUUGUUUCUGCAAUUUAUUGAUGUACUGCUGCAAGUGGCAAUUGCUGAUUGAGCUGACUCAUGUGCCUUCUAAUAUCAUGUGCCUUCUAAUCUUUCUAGGGGAGUUGAUUUCAUAGAAGUUGUAGCUCAUCUGGGCGAUACAGCUAGUCAGCAAGAUCAAAAUUAUGUGGGCAAAACAACAAGUCACAUACCAAACCACAGCUACUACUAAUUGGAGCACUUUCUUCACUUGACUGUGGCUGGAUCAGGUGUGGAAUGUUUAAACUCAUAUGAUAUCUAACUUGGAUUGAUGAACAGAAUAGGGAUUGGGCGGUGGUUAUCUUUUACUCACAUCGUUGUAUCUAUACUCUAUGUGCGUUUACUUGUUCUGUAUAUAAAGUAUGUAUCAAGUAGCUGAAAACCGA